Molecule: long non-coding RNA, 216 nt
Organism: Dioscorea cayenensis subsp. rotundata (Guinea yam)
Lineage: Eukaryota; Viridiplantae; Streptophyta; Magnoliopsida; Dioscoreales; Dioscoreaceae
Exons: 3
Source: RefSeq, a predicted model, not a curated record
GUUUUUAUUCCAGAUAGAAGGAGCUUGGAAUGAAGGAGGGAGAGGGCCAAGCAUUUGGGACACUUUCGCCCAACAACACCCUGAAAAAAUUGAAGACGGGAGCAAUGGAAAUAUUGCCGUGGAUUCAUAUCAUUGAUACAAAGAAGACGUGAAGCUGUUGAAGGACAUGAACGUAGAUUCCUAGAUUCUCCAUUUCAUGGUCAAGGAUUCUACCAA